Salvelinus sp. IW2-2015 is the source of this 978-nucleotide non-coding RNA. The record is from RefSeq and is a predicted model, not a curated record. NCBI's taxonomy places the organism in Eukaryota, Metazoa, Chordata, Actinopteri, Salmoniformes, Salmonidae.
UCUAGAGGGUGUGACCGUGUCCAGUGCAGAUGAGCUGGAGUGUGGCCAGUACUACGUGGCAGUGGGAGCAGAGAGGUUCAAGAAGCUUCCCUAUGUGGAGUUGUCGGUUCCUAAAGCCACUGAGGGGUAUCGAUGGAAUUAUUAUCGUACAGAAAUUUGAGAGAAGCUGACAAUAGAACAGCUUUCAGACAGACAAGACUAAAGACUAGUGUGUGUAUUUUAUUCUAAAUAAAAUAUUGAAUUCUAUAUUAUAUGAAUUAUAUGAAAAAUAUUUCAAUUUUCCAUUAUUUUCCAGAAUUUACCCUGGAAUUAGAAGGCUGUCAAAGAGACAUGAGGGCAGGAAGGCAGCCAGGGGCCCUGAGGACAGAUACAGGGACUCUGCUCUCCUGGACUCUCCAGAGUCGGACGGACGGAGGGUGAAGUCAACGGGGGACGAAGUAGGGAAGAUGACACUCCCAGCCAUCCAAAGGAGACCAAAGAAGGAGGUGAGCGCUAUCUUCUACGCCAGACCAGUGAGGAACAGAGCCCAACCUAGGCCUCUGCCAAAGAGUGGACCAGUCCUCCGUUCCAGGACAGCAACCACCCGCUCCACUCGGCGUUCCAACUUCUACCCUCAGGUUCCAGAUGCAAACCAGACUAAAAAGCAACUGAUACAAGCACUCCUUUGUACCCACCGGCUAAAACAUGUUAAACACUUGGCCCAAGUAGGGAUAGGGAAUUAAAUGGUGCAGUAUCUGAUUUUCGCAUGCAUUCUAUUGCCUGAAGAAGAAAAAAAUCUGUGUACUAUGUGUUUUUUUUUAACAUGUUAUCCCUGCCUGCAACCAAAUUUCCCUCUGGGGAUUAAGUUUGAACUGUUAUUUCUUCCCUUAAGCAGUGUAAUUGGACCAUCUUUCACUUCUCUCCUUGAAAUGAUGUAUGAGGUAUAUUAUACUGAUAAAAUAUAUAAAUGCAACAUGUAAAGUGUUGGUCCCAUGUUUC